UGGGAAGAGCUACUGCCUCCACAUCAGGCUAUGCCACGCCAAGAGCCAAUCUAGAUGAGACCAUCAAGAAGUCUGACUUAACCGCUCUCAUCAAGGCUCUCAAGGAAUCUGGAUAUUGAUUCUAGUAAGUUGCUUGGCAAAGGUGUUACCAAGGGAGACUUGUACUUACUUGAGGACACAAGACCUGUAUCUCAAUUAUCGUGUGUGUUUCAUUCUGUUUCUGAAUUCCCUAAAGAUGAAAUCUGGCAUGCUAGACUAGGACAUCCCCAUUCUCGUGCCUUGAACAUCCUGUUGCCUAGUAUUUCUUUUAAAAAUGAGUGUGAAGCGUGUAUAUUAGGAAAACAUUG
Molecule: long non-coding RNA, 347 nt
Organism: Brassica napus (rape)
Lineage: Eukaryota; Viridiplantae; Streptophyta; Magnoliopsida; Brassicales; Brassicaceae
Exons: 2
Source: RefSeq, a predicted model, not a curated record